This 258-nucleotide ribosomal RNA is filed under the name Triticum aestivum (bread wheat). RNAcentral's name for it is "partial small subunit ribosomal RNA". The record is from RNAcentral. Lineage: Eukaryota; Viridiplantae; Streptophyta; Magnoliopsida; Poales; Poaceae.
AUGAGUUCAUCGUAUCACCCGCAGACGGAUGGGCAGAUGGAGCGGGUGAAUCAGUGCUUGGAAACAUACUUGCGUUGCUCAGUGCACUCAUGCCCGGGGAAUUGGGCGCGAUGGCUAGCCCUUGCAGAAUACUGGUAUAAUACUUGCUUUCACUCGGCUUUGGGACGUACUCCAUUCGAGGUGAUCUAUGGACACUUGCCUAGGGAGUUUGGCAUAUCUCAGGUGGAUGAGAGCACCGUUCCAGAUCUGGCAGCCUAG